AUUCUUAUAGUUGAAAUACAACAAUGGUUUUUCAUAUCAUUAGUCAUGGUUACAGUCCAUGUGGGAAUA
RNAcentral lists this transfer RNA (69 nucleotides) under Saguinus bicolor (Brazilian bare-faced tamarin). Its description in RNAcentral is "tRNA-Glu". It matches the Rfam family "tRNA". Rfam says of the family: Transfer RNA (tRNA) molecules are approximately 80 nucleotides in length. Their secondary structure includes four short double-helical elements and three loops (D, anti-codon, and T loops). RNAcentral also lists the same sequence under 1 other name. The record is from RNAcentral. Lineage: Eukaryota; Metazoa; Chordata; Mammalia; Primates; Cebidae.